RNAcentral lists this ribosomal RNA (114 nucleotides) under Escherichia coli. The record is from RNAcentral. Lineage: Bacteria; Pseudomonadati; Pseudomonadota; Gammaproteobacteria; Enterobacterales; Enterobacteriaceae. RNAcentral also lists the same sequence under 1 other name.
UGGCGGCAGUAGCGCGGUGGUCCCACCUGACCCCAUGCCGAACUCAGAAGUGAAACGCCGUAGCGCCGAUGGUAGUGUGGGGUCUCCCAUGCGAGAGUAGGGAACUGCCAGGCA